UCCUACGGGAGGCAGCAGUAAGGAAUAUUCCACAAUGAGCGAAAGCUUGAUGGAGCGACACAGAGUGCAGGAUGAAGUCUUUAGGGAUGUAAACUGCUGUUGUAAGGGAAGAAAAGACUAGAUAGGAAAUGAUUUAGUCUUGACGGUACCUUAUUAGAAAGUGACGGCAAACUAUGUGCCAGCAGCCGCGGUAAUACAUAGGUCGCAAGCGUUAUCCGGAAUUAUUGGGCGUAAAGCGUCCGCAGGUUUUUUGUUAAGUUUAAGGUUAAAUGCUAAAGCUCAACUUUAGUUCGCUUUAGAUACUGACAAAAUAGAAUUAUGAAGAGGUUAGCGGAAUUCCUAGUGGAGCGGUGGAAUGCGUAGAUAUUAGGAAGAACACCAAUAGGCGAAGGCAGCUAACUGGUCAUAUAUUGACACUAAUGGACGAAAGCGUGGGGAGCAAACAGGAUUAGAUACCCUGGUAGUCC
This 467-nucleotide ribosomal RNA is filed under the name uncultured bacterium. RNAcentral describes it as "bacterial SSU rRNA". It matches the Rfam family "Bacterial small subunit ribosomal RNA", at positions 337 to 796 of the family's 1533-position model. The record is from RNAcentral.